This 149-nucleotide non-coding RNA is filed under the name Nomascus leucogenys (northern white-cheeked gibbon). The record is from Rfam by way of RNAcentral. Lineage: Eukaryota; Metazoa; Chordata; Mammalia; Primates; Hylobatidae.
GCCGGGCGUGGUGGCGCGCGCCUGUAAUCCCAGCUACUCGGGAGGCUGAGGUGGGAGGAUUGCUUGAACCCGGGAGGCAGAGGUUGCGGUGAGCCGAGAUCGCUUCACUUGCACUGCAGCCUGGGAGACAGAGCAAGACCCCGUCUCAA